Molecule: ribosomal RNA, 301 nt
Filed under: uncultured bacterium
Lineage: Bacteria
Description: partial 16S ribosomal RNA
Rfam family: Bacterial small subunit ribosomal RNA
Source: RNAcentral
CAGUAGCCGCGGGAAUACGAAGGGGGCUAGCGUUGUUCGGAAUUACUGGGCGUAAAGGGCGCGUAGGCGGCCAUUCAAGUUAGAUGUGAAAGCCCUGGGCUCAACCUAGGAAUUGCAUUUGAUACUGUUUGGCUUGAGUUCGGGAGAGGUGAGUGGAAUUCCGAGUGUAGAGGUGAAAUUUGUAGAUAUUCGGAAGAACACCAGUGGCGAAGGCGGCUCACUGGCUCAUUCUAGACGCUGAGGUGCGAAAGCGUGGGGAGCAAACAGGAUUAGAUACCCCCGUAGUCCCUGUCUCUUAUAC